This is a non-coding RNA of Hordeum vulgare subsp. vulgare (domesticated barley), 116 nucleotides long. The record is from Rfam. Lineage: Eukaryota; Viridiplantae; Streptophyta; Magnoliopsida; Poales; Poaceae.
GAUAUACUCCCUCCACCUCGAAUUACUUGUCGCAAGAAUGGAUGUAUCUAGGCGUAUUUUUAGUUCUAGAUACAUCCAUCUCUACAACAAGUAAUUCGGAACGGAGGGAGUAAUAA